CCUUCCCCUCAGGACGUUGCAGGUGUGGCUGCUGUGUCUUGUGUGCAUCAGUAGUGGCAGGGAGGAGAAAAGCUAUGUCUAAGCUCAGUGUUCUGACCUGGGAACUUCUGAAUGAUUAGUAGUAGCCUAACAU
This 133-nucleotide small nucleolar RNA is filed under the name Mus caroli (Ryukyu mouse). RNAcentral describes it as "predicted gene, 22150 (MGP_CAROLIEiJ_G0036411.1)". It matches the Rfam family "Small nucleolar RNA SNORA17". From Rfam's summary of the family: snoRNA ACA 17 belongs to the H/ACA family of snoRNAs and is predicted to guide pseudouridylation of the 28S rRNA at positions U4659 and U4598. Lineage: Eukaryota; Metazoa; Chordata; Mammalia; Rodentia; Muridae. The record is from RNAcentral.